This 254-nucleotide ribosomal RNA is filed under the name uncultured Latescibacterota bacterium. RNAcentral describes it as "uncultured Latescibacteria bacterium partial 16S ribosomal RNA". It matches the Rfam family "Bacterial small subunit ribosomal RNA", at positions 1131 to 1382 of the family's 1533-position model. Lineage: Bacteria; Pseudomonadati; Candidatus Latescibacterota. The record is from RNAcentral.
CUGGGAACGUCUGGGGAGGACUGCCGGUGAUAAACCGGAGGAAGGCGGGGAUGACGUCAAGUCCUCAUGGCCCUUACAUCCCGGGCUACACACGUGCUACAAUGGCAGGUACAGAGGGCUGCGAAGCCGCGAGGUGGAGCGAAUCCCAGAAAACCUGUCUCAGUCCGGAUUGAAGUCUGCAACUCGACUUCAUGAAGGCGGAAUCGCUAGUAACCGCGAAUCAGCAGGUCGCGGUGAAUACGUUCCCGGGUCUU